This 253-nucleotide ribosomal RNA is filed under the name uncultured bacterium. RNAcentral describes it as "partial 16S ribosomal RNA". It matches the Rfam family "Bacterial small subunit ribosomal RNA", at positions 524 to 776 of the family's 1533-position model. The record is from RNAcentral.
UACGUAGGGUGCGAGCGUUAAUCGGAAUUACUGGGCGUAAAGCGUGCGCAGGCGGUUUUGUAAGCCAGAUGUGAAAUCCCCGGGCUUAACCUGGGAAUGGCAUUUGGGACUGCAAGGCUUGAGUGCGGCAGAGGAGACUGGAAUUCCCGGUGUAGCAGUGAAAUGCGUAGAUAUCGUAAGGAAGACCAGUGGCGAAGGCGAGUCUCUGGACAGUUACUGACGCUGAGGCACGAAGGCCAGGGGAGCAAACGGG